UACGUAGGUGGCAAGCGUUGUCCGGAUUUACUGGGCGUAAAGAGCGCGCAGGCGGUCGUUCAAGUCGCGUGUGAAAGCCCCCGGCUCAACUGGGGAGGGUCACGCGAUACUGAUCGACUCGAAGGCAGGAGAGGGAAGUGGAAUUCCCGGUGUAGUGGUGAAAUGCGUAGAUAUCGGGAGGAACACCAGUGGCGAAGGCGGCACUCUGGGCCGGAACUGACGCUGAGGAGCGAAAGCGUGGGGAGCGAACAGG
This 253-nucleotide ribosomal RNA is filed under the name uncultured bacterium. RNAcentral's name for it is "partial 16S ribosomal RNA". It matches the Rfam family "Bacterial small subunit ribosomal RNA", at positions 524 to 776 of the family's 1533-position model. The record is from RNAcentral.